UUUUCCGGUUGAUCCUGCCGGACCCCACUGCUAUCGAGAUGGGACUAAGGUAUGCUAGUCGAACGAACUGAACUAUGUCAGUUAGUGGCACACUGCUCAGUAACACGUAGCUAACCUACCCUUAGGACGUGGAUACCCCCGAGAAAUUGGGGUUAAUCCGCGAUAGGUGUAAUGUCCUGGAAUGGUAUUACGCCCAAAGGUAAUUCAUACAUGUUUGAAUUACGCCUAAGGAUGGGGCUGCGGCCGAUCAGGCAGUUGGUGAGGUAAUGGCUCACCAAACCUUUGACCGGUACGGGCCAUGAGAGUGGUAGCCCGGAGAUGGACACUGAGACAAGGGUCCAGGCCCUAAGGGGCGCAGCAACCGCGAAACCUCCACAAUGCACUCACGUGCGAUGGGGCUAUCUCGAGUGCCACCUGAUGAAGGUGGCUUUUCCUUGGUCUUCAAAGCCUUGGGAAUAAGAGGGGGGCAAGACUGGUGUCAGCCGCCGCGGUAACACCAGCCCCUCGAGUGGUGGGGAUGAUUAUUGGGCCUAAAGCGUCCGUAGCCGGCCGUGUAAGUCUUCCGUUAAAUCCAGCGUCUCAAGCGUUGGACUGCGGGAGAUACUGUACGGCUAGAGAGUGGGAGAGGUUAGCGGUAUUCUGGGGGUAGGGGCGAAAUCCUUUGAUCCCCGGAGGACCACCAGUGGCGAAGGCUGCUGACUAGAACACGUCUGACGGUCAGGGACGAAAGCUGGGGUAGCGAACCGGAUUAGAUACCCGGGUAGUCCCAGCCGUAAACGAUGCAUGCUAGGUGUUGGGUUGGCCACGCGCCACCCCAGUGCCGCAGGGAAGCCGUUAAGCAUGCCGCCUGGGAAGUACGAUCGCAAGGUUGAAACUUAAAGGAAUUGGCGGGGGAGCACCACCAGGCGUGAAGCCUACGGUUUAAUUGGAUUCAACGCCGGGA
This 943-nucleotide ribosomal RNA is filed under the name uncultured archaeon. RNAcentral's name for it is "bacterial SSU rRNA". It matches the Rfam family "Archaeal small subunit ribosomal RNA", at positions 1 to 923 of the family's 1478-position model. The record is from RNAcentral.